GCGCAAUUACUUGCCUUUUAAUUGAAGGCCUGUACGAACGGACCCACGAAAGCCUAACUGUCUCACAACUAUAAAAGGAAACUAAUCUUUAAGUGAAAAAGCUUAACUCAAAUAAAAAGACAAGAAGACCCUGUAGAGCUUAACUCAUACAUCUAUAACCUCAACCUAUUUUUACAAUCACCUCUAGCCCAAGAGUUUUGCUGGGGCAGCAAGAGACCAACAAAAACGUCUCCUUACAACCAAGACCCUAAGUCACCCACCAGACCCCCUCCUCUUCUUAGAAGACCCAGGGAACUUAAAACAUAGCUACCUCAGGGAUAACAGACUAAUUUGUCUUAAAAGUCCACAUUAACAGACAAGU
Molecule: ribosomal RNA, 361 nt
Filed under: Ctenodrilus serratus (sawtooth elbow crab)
Lineage: Eukaryota; Metazoa; Annelida; Polychaeta; Terebellida; Cirratulidae
Description: partial 16S ribosomal RNA
Rfam family: Bacterial large subunit ribosomal RNA
Source: RNAcentral